Molecule: ribosomal RNA, 216 nt
Filed under: Glomeromycotina sp.
Lineage: Eukaryota; Fungi; Glomeromycota
Description: partial small subunit ribosomal RNA
Rfam family: Eukaryotic small subunit ribosomal RNA (bases 40-216)
Source: RNAcentral
GGGUCAGUAGGUUGGUCGUGCCACCGGUACGUACUGGUCUCACUGAUUCCUCCUUCCUGAAGAACCGUAAUGCCAUUAAUUUGGUGUUGCGGGGAAACAGGACUGUUACUUUGAAAAAAUUAGAGUGUAUAAAGCAAGCUAACGCUUGAAUACACUAGCAUGGAAUAAUGAAAUAGGACGAUCGAUCCUAUUUUGUUGGUUUCUAGGAUUGACGUA